CUCCCAGUCAGGAUGUUUACCGGUUUCCUCUUUCUGCUCCUCCUCACAGGUGGAAGUACCAACAAUAACUCAAAGGACGACAAUAACAACGGUGGAAGUUCCUGGAAUACCACAGAGCU
This is a long non-coding RNA of Trematomus bernacchii (emerald rockcod), 119 nucleotides long. RefSeq lists it as uncharacterized. The transcript has 3 exons. The record is from RefSeq and is a predicted model, not a curated record. Lineage: Eukaryota; Metazoa; Chordata; Actinopteri; Perciformes; Nototheniidae.